CGACCGGCGCACGGGUGAGUAACACGUAUCCAACCUGCCGAUGACUCGGGGAUAGCCUUUCGAAAGAAAGAUUAAUACCCGAUGGCAUAGUUCUUCCGCAUGGUAGAACUAUUAAAGAAUUUCGGUCAUCGAUGGGAUGCGUUCCAUUAGGUUGUUGCGGGGUAACGGCCCACCAAGCCUUCGAUGGAUAGGGGUUCUGAGAGGAAGGUCCCCCACAUUGGAACUGAGACACGGUCCAAACUCCUACGGGAGGCAGCAUG
RNAcentral lists this ribosomal RNA (260 nucleotides) under uncultured bacterium. RNAcentral describes it as "partial 16S ribosomal RNA". It matches the Rfam family "Bacterial small subunit ribosomal RNA", at positions 92 to 353 of the family's 1533-position model. The record is from RNAcentral.